Molecule: ribosomal RNA, 136 nt
Filed under: uncultured bacterium
Lineage: Bacteria
Description: partial 16S ribosomal RNA
Source: RNAcentral
GCACGGAGUUAGCCGGAGCUUAUUCUCCAGGUACUGUCAUUAUCAUCCCUGGUAAAAGAGCUUUACAACCCUAAGGCCUUCAUCACUCACGCGGCAUUGCUGGAUCAGGCUUUCGCCCAUUGUCCAAUAUUCCCCA